AAUUUCCUGAGCCUUUUCUGGUUAUCUUCACUGACAGGGAAAAACGGGCUCAGUUCUGGCAUUCUUGCUCCCCCAAAGCAAAGCCGUGGCGCAAGGAAAUCAAGAGUCUUACAAGGGUUCAGAGACCCUGCUGAGCUCCCCCUGCUCAUCCACAGCUUAACCAGCAGAAAUACUCUGAAUCAGGCAUUUUUAGUUUAGACAGAGGCUGUGCAGCUGCUGUCUUCUCUCUGCAGUGGGAAGGUCAGGGCCAGUGGGACAGUUGACCUCAGCAGCCUGAAUUUCACCCAGAGGCCUGAAAAAUAUGGGAACAAAUAGCUCUGAGCAACACCAGCUUAAACUGAAAGUGAAUAAAAGGAAUAAGAAGAAUAGUCCUCAUAAAGCAAGAGAUUAUUUGGAAAGUUCUGCAGUAUGUGAAACGCUUGUUAUUACAGCAAUGAUGAUACUGAAGAAAUAACAAGGCUCUACGGCAUAGAAAGUUGUAUCAAU
Harpia harpyja (harpy eagle) is the source of this 486-nucleotide long non-coding RNA. RefSeq lists it as uncharacterized. NCBI's taxonomy places the organism in Eukaryota, Metazoa, Chordata, Aves, Accipitriformes, Accipitridae. The record is from RefSeq and is a predicted model, not a curated record. The transcript is spliced from 4 exons.